Molecule: ribosomal RNA, 253 nt
Filed under: uncultured bacterium
Lineage: Bacteria
Description: partial 16S ribosomal RNA
Rfam family: Bacterial small subunit ribosomal RNA
Source: RNAcentral
UACGGGGGGGGCAAGCGUUGUUCGGAAUUACUGGGCGUAAAGGGCUCGUAGGCGGCCAACUAAGUCGGAUGUGAAAUCCCCAGGCUUAACCUGGGAACUGCAUCCGAUACUGGAUGGCUUGAAUCCGGGAGAGGGAUGCAGAAUUCCAGGUGUAGCGGUGAAAUGCGUAGAUAUCAGGAGGAACACCGGUGGUGUAGACGGCUCACUGGACCGUAACUGACGCUGAGACACGAAAGCGUGGGUAGCAAACAGG